RNAcentral lists this ribosomal RNA (253 nucleotides) under uncultured bacterium. Its description in RNAcentral is "partial 16S ribosomal RNA". It matches the Rfam family "Bacterial small subunit ribosomal RNA", at positions 524 to 776 of the family's 1533-position model. The record is from RNAcentral.
UACGUAGGGUGCGAGCGUUGUCCGGAAUUAUUGGGCGUAAAGAGCUUGUAGGCGGUCUGUCGCGUCUGCUGUGAAGAUCCGGGGCUCAACCCCGGACUUGCAGUGGGUACGGGCAGACUAGAGUGAUGUAGGGGAGACUGGAAUUCCUGGUGUAGCGGUGAAAUGCGCAGAUAUCAGGAGGAACACCGAUGGCGAAGGCAGGUCUCUGGGCAUUAACUGACGCUGAGGAGCGAAAGCAUGGGGAGCGAACAGG